CGGCAUUAUGCGCAAGCGCCUUGCCGCCUCCGCCUUCGACCUGCCGCCAGAAUACCUCCUGGAAGUGGAAGAAGUGACCAUCGGAAUAGUUCUCGUGUAGAGGUGGAAGAACUCUUAGCAUAUUCACAGGGUUAUGGCGGGCUAUGCUAGUACUAAAGCAGGUGUAAGAUCCCAUUCAAUAAUUGAGAUGUGCAGUAACAUUUGAUAAAUGAUCUAAUAUCCCGCCUUGUGAGGCAGCAAGCAGUUCUUCUGAUCAAGCAAAUAGGUACUGAUUUUAUUUUAAUUGAACUAUUAAAUCAUGCUCACACUGACUUGUUAGUGUAUGAUUAAUUCCUUGCAUUUGUUCAUCAGGAGACAACAUUGUAUCUUUGAUGUUGAUCAGAUUUUUGUCCAAGAAGUUUCAAAGUUUUGAUCCCAAACGACUCACUAACAUCUAUUAACCAGUUUUUUUUAUGUUACUCAAAAUACCAUGCAUUCUCACGAGCAACUAAUCGGUUUAUAGUUCUCACUUCAACAAAUGUGUUCCUGAAAUAAAAGACAGUAGUACCAACACUGCAAAGAGAGGGGGGCUUCUGGCUCCAUCGACAAGAUGCAGAGUGGAUGUCUUUUUUUCACCCUGAUUGUUUUGCAUUUGCAGGAGUGCAGGAAUACUUU
Long non-coding RNA from Zingiber officinale, 654 nucleotides. RefSeq lists it as uncharacterized. The record is from RefSeq and is a predicted model, not a curated record. NCBI's taxonomy places the organism in Eukaryota, Viridiplantae, Streptophyta, Magnoliopsida, Zingiberales, Zingiberaceae. The transcript has 3 exons.